CUCGGUAAUUCUAUAGCUAAGGACACACCUCUUCCCAUUCCGAACAGAGAAGUUAAGCUUAGUUUAGUCGAUGGUACUGCAGGGUUCCUCUGUGGGAGAGUAGAUUAUUGCCGGGC
This 116-nucleotide ribosomal RNA is filed under the name Ignavibacteria bacterium. The record is from RNAcentral. Lineage: Bacteria; Pseudomonadati; Ignavibacteriota; Ignavibacteria.